This 1494-nucleotide ribosomal RNA is filed under the name uncultured soil bacterium. RNAcentral describes it as "partial small subunit ribosomal RNA". It matches the Rfam family "Bacterial small subunit ribosomal RNA". The record is from RNAcentral.
GNAUGAACGCGUGGCGGCGUGCCUUAAUACAUGCAAGUCGAGCGGUAANACUUCCACAGUUUGCUGGAUCGAGACAGGUCGCGGCUGCCCAUUGNGGCAGACGCAUCAUUACAUUAAGUGAUGAGCGGCCAGUCUCAAUAGAUCAAGCAAAGUGUGGAAGUACACNAGCGGCGGACGGGUGAGUAACGCGUAAGAAUGUACCCCGAACUGAGGGAUAACUGCUCGAAAGAGUANCUAAUACCGCAUAGUCUCUACUGAGUAAAGCUACNGCGGUUUGGGAACAGCUUGCGUCUGAUUAGCUAGUUGGUACNGUAACGGCGUACCAAGGCGACGAUCAGUAGCUGGUCUGAGAGGAUGACCANCCACACUGGGACUGAGACACGGCCCACACUCCUACGGGAGGCAGCANUANGGAAUUUUCCACAAUGGGGGCAACCCUGAUGGANCGACGCCGCGUGCAGGAUGAANGCCUUCGGGUUGUAAACUGCUUUUAUCUGUGACGAAUAUGACGGUAGCAGAUGAAUAAGGAUCNGCUAACUCCGUGCCAGCAGCCGCGGUCAUACNGAGGAUCCAAGCGUUAUCCGGAAUAACUGGNCGUAAUGCGUUGCGUANGCGGCAGGUAAAGCGGAGUGUGAAAUCGUGUGGCUCANCCAUGCGGCUAUGCUCUGAACUCACCAGCUAGAGAGCGAGAGAGGUAACUGGAAUUCCUAGUGUANGANUGAAAUCCNUAGAUAUUANGAGGAACACCGAUGGCGUANGCAGGUUACUGGCUCGUUUNUGACGCUCAGGCACGAAAGCGUGGGGAGCAAACGGGAUUAGAUACCCCGGUAGUCCACGCCGUAAACUAUGGAUGCUAGCUGUGAGAAGUAUCGACCCUUNUNGUAGCGAAGCUAACGCGUUAAGCAUCCCGCCUGGGGAGUACGGUCGCAAGAUUAAAACUCAAAGGAAUUGACGGGGACCCGCACAAGCGGUGGAGCGUGUUGUUUAAUUCGAUGAUAAACGUAGAACCUUACCCAGGCUUGACAUCCUUGGAAUUUNUUNGAAAGAAGAAAGUGCUUUUAGAGCCAAGUGACAGGUGCUGCAUGGCCGUCGUCAGCUCGUGUCGUGAGAUGUUAGGUUAAGUCCUUCAACGAGCGCAACCCUUUUNUUCAGUUGGAUUUCUCUGAACAGANUGCCCUGGUAACAGGGAGGAAGGGGGGGAUGAUGUCAGGUCAGUAUUGCCCUUANGUCUGGGGCUACAAACANGNUACAAUGGCCGGUACAAAGGGCAGCCAACCCGCAAGGGGGAGCAAAUCCCAUCAAAGCCGGUCUCAGUUNGGAUUNCAGGCUGAAACUCGCCUGCAUGAAGCCGGAAUCGCUAGUAAUGGUAGGUCAGCUAUACUNCCGUGAAUACGUUCCCGGGUCUUGUACACACCGCCCGUCAAACCAUGAAAGUCGCCAAUACCUGACGUNCUGAACUCGUUUCGGCCUAAGGUAGGGGAGAUGAUUGGGGUU